GAUGAAGAACGUAGCGAAAUGCGAUAAGUAAUGUGAAUUGCAGAAUUCAGUGAAUCAUCGAAUCUUUGAACGCACAUUGCGCCCGUCAGUAUUCUGGCGGGCAUGCCUGUUCGAGCGUCAUUACGCCCCUCAAGUCCCCUGUGGACAUGGUGUUGGGGAUCGGCGAGGCUGGUUUUCCAGCACAGCCGUCCCUUAAAUUAAUUGGCGGUCUCGCCGUGGCCCUCCUCUGCGCAGUAGUAAAACACUCGCAACAGGAGCCCGGCGCGGUCCACUGCCGUAAAACCCCCCAACUUUUUAUAGUUGACCUCGAAUCAGGUAGGACUACCCGCUGAACUUAAGCAUAUCAAUAAGCGGAGGA
RNAcentral lists this unclassified non-coding RNA (358 nucleotides) under soil metagenome. RNAcentral's name for it is "partial contains 5.8S ribosomal RNA, internal transcribed spacer 2, and large subunit ribosomal RNA". The stretch from base 1 to 120 matches the Rfam family "5.8S ribosomal RNA", at positions 35 to 154 of the family's 154-position model. The record is from RNAcentral.